Molecule: ribosomal RNA, 375 nt
Filed under: uncultured bacterium
Lineage: Bacteria
Description: bacterial SSU rRNA
Rfam family: Bacterial small subunit ribosomal RNA
Source: RNAcentral
CUACGUAGGUGGCGAGCGUUGUCCGGAAUUACUGGGCGUAAAGGGUGCGUAGGCGGAUAAUCAAGUCAGAUGUGAAAGUCCAUGGCUUAACUGUGGGAGUGCAUUUGAGACUGAAGAUCUAGAGUGCAGGAGAGGGAAGCGGAAUUCCUAGUGUAGCGGUGAAAUGCGUAGAUAUUAGGAAGAACACCAGUGGCGAAGGCGGCUUUCUGGACUGUAACUGACGCUGAAGCACGAAAGCGUGGGGAGCAAACAGGAUUAGAUACCCUGGUAGUCCACGCCGUAAAUGAUGAGUAUUAGGUGUAGGGGACGAUAGUCUUCUGUGCCGGAGCAAACGCAAUAAAUACUCCGCCUGGGGAGUACGGUCACAAGACUAAA